AAGGGGAAGCCGCUCAGGGGUGCAGCUCUGUGUCGCUGGUGGAGGAAACACGGGGGACAUUACACUCGGGCUCCGUCGCCUGAGUGCGCGCUCUGGAUGGCAACUCCACCAAGUGCGAGGCAAGAGAACUAAAACUCCUGUGGUGCGCAGUGGGUUUCUGGGUCCUCUGCAACCAGGGCUCCGACGGCUUCUAGGUGUGUGGACCCGGAAGCACCAAGGAGAAGGCAGAGCUGAGGGCAGCAUUUGCAGGACUGGGAAGACGCAACCAGGCAGGCGAGGAGCCAGUGCUCCUUGUUCUAAGGGAAGAGGUUGUGCAAACACCCAGGUGUAGAAAUUGUAAGAUGCAGUGAGACUAGACAGACUAAAGCUACUGGUGUAGCUUCAGCUAGGGACCCACUGUGAAGAGAGGUUUGGACUCACACGGUGAAGCACCUUGAACACUGCUUAUUACACGGCCUCGGUGUGGUUUUACAGAGAAUGAUAAGCUGUAGCAUUAUGCAGUGUACCACCUAAACAACUGUACAGUACUUAGGAGCUUGUCUAACUCUUUGGAAUUCAGUCCUGCAGGUAGCUGCGAGCAGCUGAAGGUUUUGGAAUGUGAUGUCAGGAUUUGAUUUCUAUCUUGGAGCAGUUUUGGAAAUGGACCACAAAUCAACGAAAUAACUGACCCACCAGCUUGGGAGUAGAGACAGGAGUUAUGGUGCCCUUUAAGCCCAGCCCCUCGGCGGCCACAGCCUGAGAACCUAUAGGGUUUGAAAAGUCCUUAUACAAGUUCACAGUUCCUCUGAGCUAAAAAAUAAAUUCAGAAUAAAACAGAUCACAGUUGUCUGACAUUUCUAAAAUUCUCCUUAUCUGGUGUCACGGGGUCUGCCCGGAUGGAGAAGGGGCAGAGAGGCUGUCUGCACCCUGGAGUGGAGGGAAUGGGAAGGCAGCAGCGGGUGGCAGAGGAUCUGGUCACAGUUGCCCAGUUUCCUCUUUGCUGUCUCUGAGAACCAUUGUUUUGUGGCCUGGGUCUAAAACAGAGACAGAUCUGCGAUUGUGCCAAGAAAAACUCCCUGGGCCAGCUCUGAGACUACUGCACACACGGGCGUGGACCAGUGCAAGUGUGUUUCAAAAGCAAACAGUGGUGUGCAGUCCCUCACACGCGGGCAAAGCGAUUGACCAUGACUUGUGGGGUCACGGGCUCCUCCAAUGCCCUUCAACCCGAACUCACAAUUGGUCGUCCUAGGAAACAGAAGCCAGGGGGGCUCCCAGUUACCCCUCACUCAAUUCUGCUGGGAAGACUGACAAUCGAGGAGAUUAGAGCCGCUCUGCAAGCCCAGAAGGGGUGGAGCCGAUGCUGGGGCCAGGGGUCGUGUUUUGGGGUCAGAGGCCUGGGAGCUUCUGCCAUCGACCCCUGCCUGAAGGUUCAAGUUUGAUCUGUCAUUUGCAAAUGCCUGUGUCAGAUAAUUCAUCUCCUGUGGCCACAGCACAGUGUGACUUGGCUGGAGGAACGAAGCAUCGUGGAGAAAAGCAGCACCCAGGACAUCACAGAAAACUUUAAAAGAUUCCAAGACGGGCCCUGCCCUAGGCAGAGACAGCAGAGGUCAAAAAUUCACUCCAGGCCUGCUGGGGACUAGGAGCCUGGGGAUAGAACGUGGCUCUUCCCCAAGAUAGGGUCCCCAUCUGGGGCACUCAGACACCCUGGACCAGCCCGGUCCACCCCAUAGCUUCCCACCCAACCCAGCAUCGACCUGGUCACCCUGCCUCAGAUGAGAGAAUGGAGUUGACAGCCAGGGGUGGGGCAUGUGGACUGUGGAUGCAGAACCGAGGAACAGAGAUGGAAACAUGUCAGCUGCCCAGGGGCUGUGGCGGAGGUAUCCACAGAAGGCCACCAGGGAGAGCAGCCAAGUGCCACUUGGCUCUUUGCAGAGAGCACUGCAGCGGCCACAUGUGCUGAAACUUGGGAGGGAGGCGAGCUCUGUGAGCACCACAGCAUCACCCACUGGACACCUGGUCCUGCCCUCCUGGAUCCCCUCUGCCUGGGCCCUCUCCUCACACACAGCCAUGUGAGCUCCCAGACAGAUAUAAUAUUGCACGUGCAAUGUUAUGUGACACACAGGCCAUCACAACCCGACCAACCAGCCCAUCGUGAGUGACACGCGUAGUCCGAUAAUGCCCUUGUGCACAGCACAAUCAAGACCCUUGAACCUGGCUCUGUGACGUGCCGUGGGCCCACCUGUCUCCCCUCUUGACUGCUCACCUCCCCACCACCACCUGCUGGUCACAGUAGCAGAGGCAGACCCCCUCAGUGUCACCACAGCCCACACUCAGCAUUGAUCCUACUGUACCUCUUGGAUGUCCUGCUGAAUUCUUUGUUUGGGACAAGACCCCAGGCCAGCAAUUCACCCUCUGUUGAAGUAGAACCCAGGGUAGAUGGCAGGGUAACGAUGUAACACUGGUGCCUCUGCCACUGACACAAGUGGACACCGCUAACUGAGAGCAAGGAAAAUACUCCAGCCAGCCCUCAGGACAAGGCGGGCAUCGUCACAGCGGGGCUGAACUGCACCCACUUCCAGCAACUCAUGACUCUCAAAAACGCAGCAUUGGAAGCAGGAAGAACUGGCUUGGCGUCCCUCUCUCCAGAGCCACUUUUUCUGCGGCACUGCUCCAGCACUCCUGGUAAGGAUGGGUGGAAACUGCAGAAAGCAAGAUCCAGCCAGCUGUUGGCCCUCCCUGCACCGCCCAGAGCAUCCCUCUCCUGUCCCAUGGGCCUAUCUGAUGGAAAGUUGGCCCAUCUUUGCCACAGUAAGUAAAAACCAGCACCCGGACAGCUGCAGGAGGAAGCACCUGCCUGGAGACCCCACCUGGGCUGCCAAGGCCCCGGACCCCACGAGAAAUGAAGACCCAGGAGGCUGUGCCAUAGGCUGUGCUGGAGCCCUGGCCCUGUGCAUUACGGAACUGUAGCCAGCCAGCUUGUGGGACAGGGUGACACCUUUCUAUCCCUGGACAUCAGAUGCCAAGAGCAGGUGCUCAUCACGGUCUAAGAAAAAGAGUUAAAAGUUGUCCAAGAAUCACCUGAUUGGGGAAUUCACUGAGGGUUACUCUAAUGUCCAGCCAAAGCCAGCAGUGACUGACACUUCAUAGUUUCCAGUGGGCUCAGUCCAUGGCCUGCUGGCUCCAAGGCAGAGACAACAUGGUGGAAGGGCUUGGUGGAGGAAAAUUGCUCAUGGUGGCCAGGAAACAGACAGGAGGAGCCUGAGAUGUGAACAUACCCUUCCACCUCACAACCCAAUGACUCACCCCUUCCUACCAGACCCCACCUCCAAAAGUGAGGCUUUUGGGGACAUCUUAGAUGUAAACUAUAACAACCUGGGACCUCAUGGCUGGAGAGUGUCCCCGUUCUUAGGGAACCAAGACAUGUCACCCAAGGUUGGGGCAGUCUGGAGACUCGGGACUCUUUCCCCACGUUCAGAUCCACCCCUUCAUCCCAUCCACAGUGUCCCUGUCAACCACCAAGACCAAUGGUGGGUUCUGAGAAGAAGGUGAUGGAGGUGUGACCUGAUUUCUCAGUGGCUGUUGGGGUUGAGAGACAGGGAGAGCCAUGAGGAGACCGCUGGGGCGACUCGUGGGAUGGAACAGUGGGGAUUGUGAGAAGUCUUACUUGGGUGCUCAUUUAAGGCAGGGCCAACAGGCUGUCCUGGCAGACUGGACCUGGAGGGUGAGAGGAAGGAGAAAGCCAGUGCAGUUCCAAUGGAUUUGUCGCACCUUGGAGAAGGCAGCUGCUGUUGGAAGAGAACCCCCCCCCCGCCUUGAAGUGGGAGGGACUGAACCAAGAAUGUGUCCACCAGCAAGGCCAUCUUCUGCCUCUGCUCUAUCCUCCCAGGCUUCGGGUCUCUCUGUUCAAUAAGGGAAAUAAGACCCAACUGAUUGCUUACGGAAACACCAGACCUUAUUACAAAUGAACACUUUCCCCAGAGCUCUCAUGUCCGGAAGUCAGACACGUUUACUCUGGGGCAGCUGCCAACAUAUCUUUGGAAUCCUUUUCUAGGGAUUGAGUUGAUUUAUGGCCCAUCCAAGAAAAAUCAGUCUUAUCGUUUCUCUCCAGAAGGUCAGUUGAAACAUUUACUGUGUAAAUCAGACCUGACUCUUCCAAACAUUGAAACUUUUUUCCCCAGGAUGACCAUCUGCCACCAUGCAGAAUAAGCAAAUCUCCAGCUGUGGCCAUCUCAUUGGAAAACCAACUAUGAUUCCAGGCAGGAUGAAUUUUCCUCUGUACUCCAGCACCCACGGGUGGCAGUGAGGACCCUUGCUCUCCUGAGCUCCAGCUCCCCUGCCCUUGACACUGGGCGAGAGGCAGAGUGAGGGCUUCGUGACAGCCCAGCACUCACCUGGCUAGAAAGACCGUAUGAUCUGGCUUUAAAACAGUGUCACUUUGUCAUUUAUGAUCCACAAGGCUUUCUCUUAGCAUCUCUUUCAUCAUUCUAGAGGUGAGAAAACCCUCUGAACCCAGUUUGCUCAUUCGUGAAAGGUGGCCAAUGACGAUUGUAUCCUUCUCCCAGGACAGUUUGGAAGAGGAACACACUACUGCCAACAAAGAACCUCACACACUGUGCAGGCAGCUCUUGAGCGACCUGGACACAUUGCUGUCCUCCACCCUCACGUGGGAUCAUGGUCACUAGACCACGGCGCACCUUUUGCUUUUCCUGGAGGAACACACUUUCUGGCUCCAGCUGAUACUGUGCUGUCUUCCUCACCCUCGUCUGGUUUUCCCCAGAUCCCCUCUGAGCACCUCUGUAGCUUGGAUGGUUGUGGGGUUGGGUGGCCACCUUGCCAUGUCUCCCCUCCUCUGAGGGCAGGCAGGUGGCCCUCCUGCCCAAGCCAGCACCCCAAAUUAUCAGCCACCUCUGUUUCCUCCACAUCUGCCAAGCAGUUGUCAGCUGCUGCCUGGAUUUUUCUCCACGGAACAGCACAGACUUUGCAGCACAAGGUGGGACCCUGGGCUGGCCCUACACGAGGGGCCAUGAGACCUGUCCGUCAAGCCUCAGAGUCCUCCCUCUCCAUCGAGUUUUCCAUUGACCUGAGAAAUGGCCAUCGGCUGCUGCCGGGGGACUUUUCUUCCUUCAAGAGAAUUUUAGAGACAUUUUAACACGGGGGCUUCUGAAAUCCAUGAUUCAUGCUUAAAAUCUGAUUCACUAGUAGAUCGGUUGUGUGAAAUGAGUUUGGGCCAAAAUGUCUUCUAGAAGGACACACGCAUGCAUGCAUACACACAUAGAUUAAAGAAUCGCCUUCCAUUCGCUCCUUGGAAUACAAGUUAGGGUGGACCCUCAAGACAGCUUGAGGAUCUCCUCCAUCCCCUUCUUUCCUUCCUUCCCCUCCUCCCCUAACCCUUAAAGAAGAUCCACAUACCCCAGUUGAUCUGCUCAUUGUCCAAAUUAGAUGAGAAAAUGGAUUUAAAAGUUCCUUGCUCUGUGCCGGUCCCUAAUAGUCACUUUAUUAAUGAUUGGUUAAUUGUUUUCCAUCCCUCACAUCUGCACACCAAAACACCGAAGGUGGAAUCUCUGGGCCGUGAAUGUCCUUGUUGUACAUAUCCUUCAUCCCAUCUCGGCCCAGCUGCAACAGCCCAGCCGUGCCUGUCUUUGUUUCUGAGUCUCUGGACUUUGUAGAAACUUCCAACCCCUCGACUUGACAAAUGACUUUCUAAGUGGAGGGGGUUUUACAUUUAAUAUGCAUCAUGAGAAACAUCAGAGCUAUGCUCAGGAGAUCAAAUGGUUUCUUCAGCUAAGAAUGUAAGCAUUAUCCCUAUUAAUAUCUUUCCAACAAAGGCCCAGGCUCCCCAUCCCCGACAACUCUAUGAUCUCAGUUUAUUAACAUUGCCAGUCUCCCCCACUUGCUGCCCCUGCUGCAGACUGGGUCACAGUCUAAGGUCCACCCUCCACACACACACUGCCUUGGCAGGGCUGCACAGGGGAAAAAACUCUCUGUCAUCAUAAAUCAUAAAAUCAAACAACCAAACGCCAUCUCCGGGGAAAUAAAUUCUGAAGAGCUAAGGAGGGAAAAGGGGGGGCUAUGAUUAUUUUAAUCCUAUUCCAGAUGCUCUGGUCUGCUCCCUAAACAAAACCUGAAUUAAUUGCAAGCCUUAGUCAAAGAGAUAAUAGCUGCAUGCGGGUGUAGGCAAUGUUGGGCAAGGAAUAGUUGCUCAGUUAAUGUUUAUGUAAAAAUAAAUGAGUGUAAAUGCACAAGAGUUCUGUGGACGCCGCCUUUGCCAGACAAGAUGGCUCAUUGUGACAGAGUUCCCCACAGCGUCCCUACCCAGUGACCUGGGUGCUCUGCUUUUCAAAAGCACCUUCAUACUUACUAGCUAGUUUGACUCGAGCAGCAAUCGAAGCUUGCACUUGGCCUUGGGAGAAUGCACUUCUGUAAAAGCCUCAAAGAGUGGACUGAGGUGACACUUGCACGCAGAAGCGUGCACACACACACACAUGCACGCGUGGAGGAAAAGCUGUUCUCAUAAGAAUUUUGAACCAUUGAAAGAUGUCAAAACCUCUGUGAGUACACAAAGGCAUACUGAUUCUUUACCAAAACCGGAAUGAAUUAAAAUCACUUACACUCUUCUUUACCACCCCUCAAAAGUGUCGUCGAGGAUGGACACUUUGGCUCCAAAGGGCAAAAGGGCCACAGAAGCGCCCUGGUGUUCAGCCACCCAAUCCUGAAACCAAUGACAAAAUGAAGGGCUCCCUGGGCCUCCUCUUAUGCAUUACAAGAUGGGAAGGAGAUGCCUGGCGCUACCCUACAUGCCAGGAUUCUUGGGUGAAUAAAAGCAGACAAGGUAAAAAAGAUCUCAGAAGAGCAGAAAUGGAAGAACAGUAGGGGAAGGACAGACAGCAUGGGGUGAGCCAGGGUGCUUGGUGCCAAAAUGGCACCAGGUGACAGGAGUAACAACACCCAGGUCGUCUUGGUUCUGGUUUGUGGUCCCAGACGGCUUGCUGCAGGAUCGGGCAUUCUGUGGGGCCAGAGCCUAGGCUAUCUGGAAGACCCCAGAGCUGGGAGGCCACCAGCUGAGUGACCUGGAGCUGACCCGUGUCUCCCAGCUCCUCCACUCCCUUCCGGGUCCAGGGCUCACACCUUUGCCUCCUGGAGGCCACGUAAGAAGCAGGCAGGUGCUGGGGCCUGGCACACAGAGAGGCUGCCCAGAUGUGGCCUUCACUCCCAAGACCCUCUGGGGGCAGGGGCUUCCUCACUGUUUCCAGUCUGCUCUUUUCUCAAAUUCUGCUUCAUCGCUCCGGGUUUCCUCCCACAGCCCUCUCUCUCUGUGGCCCAGCCCGGCCCGCCAGGAGCCUUGGAAAGUCGCGUUGUGCAGAGAAGCAGAUGGCUCUGCCUCCUCCUCCAUCCCCUGCUAAGUGGAUCUGGUGCCCUG
Molecule: long non-coding RNA, 7396 nt
Filed under: Heterocephalus glaber (naked mole-rat)
Lineage: Eukaryota; Metazoa; Chordata; Mammalia; Rodentia; Bathyergidae
Description: lncRNA (ENSHGLG00100041902.1)
Source: RNAcentral